RNAcentral lists this ribosomal RNA (464 nucleotides) under Vreelandella stevensii. RNAcentral describes it as "partial 16S ribosomal RNA". It matches the Rfam family "Bacterial small subunit ribosomal RNA", at positions 338 to 794 of the family's 1533-position model. Lineage: Bacteria; Pseudomonadati; Pseudomonadota; Gammaproteobacteria; Oceanospirillales; Halomonadaceae. The record is from RNAcentral.
CCUACGGGUGGCAGCAGUGGGGAAUAUUGGACAUUGGGCGAAAGCCUGAUCCAGCCAUGCCGCGUGUGUGAAGAAGGCCUUCGGGUUGUAAAGCACUUUCAGUGGGGAAGAAAGCCUUGGGGCUAAUACCCUCGAGGAAGGACAUCACCCACAGAAGAAGCACCGGCUAACUCCGUGCCAGCAGCCGCGGUAAUACGGGGGGUGCGAGCGUUAAUCGGAAUUACUGGGCGUAAAGCGCGCGUAGGCGGUCUGAUAAGCCGGUUGUGAAAGCCCCGGGCUCAACCUGGGAACGGCAUCCGGAACUGUCAGGCUAGAGUGCAGGAGAGGAAGGUAGAAUUCCCGGUGUAGCGGUGAAAUGCGUAGAGAUCGGGAGGAAUACCAGUGGCGAAGGCGGCCUUCUGGACUGACACUGACGCUGAGGUGCGAAAGCGUGGGUAGCAAACAGGAUUAGAUACCCUAGUAGC